GGAUUAGGCAUGCAAGUCGAGCGAGAAUCUUUCGCUCCAAGUUUUCGAACGAGAAGUGAAAGAGGAAAGCGGCGAAAGGGUGAGGAACACGUGGGUAAUUUACCCCCAAGUUGGGCAUAGCCCGGCGAAAGCCGGAUUAAUUCCGGAUGUGGUCUUCCUUCGCAUGGAGGAAUAUCUAAAGGAGGGGACCCUUCGGGGCCUUUCGGUUGGGGAUGAGUCUAUGUCCUAUUAGCUUGUUGGUGGGGUAACGGCCCACCAAGGCGAUGACGGGUAGUCGGCCUUAGAGGGUAGUCGGCCACGCUGGAACUGAGACACUGUCCAGACUUCUACGGAAGGCUGCAGUCGAGAAUCUUUCGCAAUGCCCGAAAGG
RNAcentral lists this ribosomal RNA (370 nucleotides) under uncultured bacterium. RNAcentral's name for it is "bacterial SSU rRNA". It matches the Rfam family "Bacterial small subunit ribosomal RNA", at positions 46 to 382 of the family's 1533-position model. The record is from RNAcentral.